UAGAGAAGAAUUUAAGGUUUGACCUGCCCACUGAUUAAUUAAAUGGCCGCAGUAAUUUGACUGUGCAAAGGUAGCAUAAUCAUUAGUUUUUUAAUUAAAAGCUUGYAUAAAUGGUUGGACGAAAUAAAUACUGUCUUUAAAUARYAAAUAGAAUUUAAUUUUUAAGUUAAAAAGCUUAGAUAGAUAUAAAAGACGAGAAGACCCUAUAGAUCUUUAUAAUAUUUUAUAUAUGUUUAAUUAAGAUUAUUUUAUUAUUUAUAUAGAUUAUUAUUUUAUUGGGGUAAUAAAAAGAUUAAAUWAAUUCUUUAUAUAUUAUAUAUAAAUUAAUAAAUUUUUGAUCCUUUAUUAWAGAUUAUAAGAUUAAGUUACCUUAGGGAUAACAGCGUAAUUUUUUUAAAGAGUUCAUAUCGAUAAAAAAGUUUGCGACCUCGAUGUUGGAUUAAAAAUUAUUCUAGGUGUAGUAGUUUAGAAUUUUGGUCUGUUCGACCAUUGAAUUUUUACAUGAUCUGAGUUCAGACCGGYGUAAGCCAGGUCGGUUUCUAUCUUUAUURAAUUAAUAUAUUUUAGUACGAAAGGACCAAAUAUAAAAUAUAAUAAAUAUUUUUAUUUUUGAAUUAUA
This 619-nucleotide ribosomal RNA is filed under the name Paroster byroensis. Its description in RNAcentral is "partial 16S ribosomal RNA". It matches the Rfam family "Bacterial large subunit ribosomal RNA", at positions 1836 to 2766 of the family's 2925-position model. Lineage: Eukaryota; Metazoa; Arthropoda; Insecta; Coleoptera; Dytiscidae. The record is from RNAcentral.